This 2139-nucleotide long non-coding RNA is filed under the name Nicotiana benthamiana. RNAcentral describes it as "long non-coding RNA (NBEN_LNC041814)". The record is from RNAcentral. Lineage: Eukaryota; Viridiplantae; Streptophyta; Magnoliopsida; Solanales; Solanaceae.
UAACAUUCAACAACAACGACUGGUUUGAAAACUAGCUUGGACGUUAUUAUAAAUACAGCUCUUAAGUAACUAUGAAUAUUGACCCAAGUUCAUCUGCAGCUUGAACUAACAAGCAUAAUGUAAACAACCAUGAAUCAAUAGACUAUACCUCAAGCUAUACAUAAGUGAGCUUGGAGAUGUGAUGCCUGAGAAGACUAGUUCUAACGUAAAUGGACUGUACUAACAAACACAUAGCUCUCAAAUGCACUCAACCAAAUAAACUCACAACUAAUAUUUACAUAUGAAAAUGGUGCAAACGAAUAGCUUAAAGAUGAUUUAAUGCCAUAAAUUCCAAAGAUUUCCAUUCCUUCAUUUCAUUCCCACUCGAGCAUCAAAUUACAUAGUUUAAGAAAUAUGUACCUGAAAAUGAGGAACAUAGGUUAAAUGUUAUUAGCAACCACAAACAGAGAUCAACAACAUGGAACCAAUUCAGUGAAUCAAUUUUAAAAACCCAGAAACAAAGCUCAACCAAUCUACUAGAACAGUUUACUUGAAUAUAACCCACAAAACUAUAAAACCAGGCCUUAAAACCAGAUUCAAUCCAUCUUUUAAACCUUAGAUAUACCCAACGAUUGUUUCAGAAGCUGGCAAAAGAGCAAUGGAACAGUAGAUUUUUUUGUGAUUUCAGCUGUUUCAGAAAUCAAAACCUUCAAGAAUUUCAGAAAAAAGAAACUUUAAUGGACUAGUAGAAUUCUGUAGGUUUUUGUAUUUAUUUGGCUCUCCAAUCUUUUUUUUUUCUUCAGAAUUUCCUUGCUCAAAGUCCUCUUUCAAGGCUAAGAAGAACAUGCCUUUAUAGGCAACUAACUAGGGAAAACUUCAUAUUUUAAAUUUACCCUUUUAGUCCGCCGUAUUUUCUCUUUUAGCCGGUUAGUCCUUCACUUUAUGCUUUGAAACUCAAGCUAAGACUAAACUUUUAUUAUUAGACCUCUACUAGAAACUUUUAGAGGUGUUACCAAAAGAUUCCUUAGGUGUAAUGUCCAGUUUACCCCUCAGUUACCCUGUUAUUUACCCUCUAAUUUUUGAAGCAGCCUGGGUUCAAAUGGAUACUUAGUUAAGACUAAACUAAAUUGAUUUAAAUAAUAUACAAGACCAACAACCAACUUUUAUUUAAACUCAGGAGCAAAAACUUAAUGAAACUCAAAUUGAACUCAGAACUUUAGAUAGAUGAAAUUACACCAACAGAAAAAGCCAAACCACUCGACCGAAUCUGAUUAAUCUUGUGAAAUUCAACCUAACAAAAGGACUAAGACUAAUUGACCCAGGAACUUAACAUGCAAUUUAACCCAAUAAAAUAAAUCUGACUAAAACUAAUUAAGCUCAGAGAUUAUUAUGAAAUUCAGCUUCAAAAAAGAAAAAUAAACAAAUUAACUCAAGAACUUAUGAAACCCACGCCACAAACAGACUCAACUAGGACUGAUCAACUUAGUCAUUAAACAAUAAAAACUAAAAGCUUAUUAGUUCAGGGACUUAAGAUGAAAUCAAAUCAACAAACCAGGAAUAACUUUGACUAAGACUAAUUAAACAUAGAUAUUAGACAAGAGAAACUAAAGCUUAUUAGUUCAGGGACUUAACAUUAAACCUAAACCAACAAACCAAAAAUAAACUCGAUUUGGAUAAAUGACUCGACUUAAAUCUAACAAGCUGACAUAGAAGAGAUGCAGAGAGAGAUUAGAAAGUAAACAGAAAAACUUAGCUUAAUUAUUUGAGUAGAAUCCUGGAAAUCUUCAUGCACCACCUGUAAUGACUCCGGAAAACAAUAGAUUCAGAUUUUGGGGAGUUGUGGGGAUAUUUGAGGGAAGCUGGCUGUGGAUUUGAGGUGAGAGAGGUGAGGAGGUUGUAGGGUGUAUUUUGUGGGCUGUUUAGUGGUGGUAGGGUUUUAGCCGUCUCAUUCGAAUCAAUAUUCAAAACGAUCAAGGGGUGUUUGAGGGAUACUGAGUGGGGAUUUGGCAUGAGGGAGAGGAGGGGGCCAUUUGGUGUUAAUUUGGGAACGGUUGGGUGGCGGCGUCGCCGGCUUCAGCGGAAGGUUAGAAUCUCUGGCUAAUUUGAGGAGCUGGGAUGGUAUUUGAAUGAAGGUGAUUACAUAUUUGAGUAAAGGAGAAG